Non-coding RNA from Pelobates cultripes (western spadefoot toad), 330 nucleotides. The record is from the annotation of a GenBank genome assembly. Lineage: Eukaryota; Metazoa; Chordata; Amphibia; Anura; Pelobatidae.
GUUAGUGUGUGUGUUAAUUUUUGUGUUUGUGUGUGUGUUACUGAGUAUGUUAGUUGUGUGUUUGUGUGUGUCUGUUAUUGAGUGUGUGUCUGCUAGUGUGUCAGUGAGUGUGUUAGUUUUUGUGUGUGUUAGUUUGAGUGUGUCUGUUAUUGUGUGUGUCUGCUAGUGAGGGUCUUUGUGUGUGUGUUACUGUGUGUGUCUGUUACUGAGUGUGUUAGUUUGUGUGUGUCUGUUAGUGUGUGUCUGUUAGUGAGUGUGUGUUUGUCAGUGAGAGUGUAUGUUUUGUAAGUGAGUGUGUAUGUUUGUCUGUCAGUCAGUGAGUGUGUAUGU